This 1402-nucleotide ribosomal RNA is filed under the name Synechococcus sp. SR-C21. RNAcentral describes it as "bacterial SSU rRNA". It matches the Rfam family "Bacterial small subunit ribosomal RNA". Lineage: Bacteria; Bacillati; Cyanobacteriota; Cyanophyceae; Synechococcales; Synechococcaceae. The record is from RNAcentral.
ACGGAGAGUUUGAUCCUGGCUCAGGAUGAACGCUGGCGGCGUGCUUAACACAUGCAAGUCGAACGCACCUUCGGGUGAGUGGCGGACGGGUGAGUAACGCGUGGGAACCUGCCCUCAGGAGGGGGAUAACGGCUGGAAACGGCCGCUAAUACCCCAUAUGCCGAGAGGUGAAAUGAGUUUCGCCUGAGGAUGGGCCCGCGUCUGAUUAGCUAGUUGGUGGGGUAAAGGCCUACCAAGGCGACGAUCAGUAGCUGGUCUGAGAGGAUGAUCAGCCACACUGGGACUGAGACACGGCCCAGACUCCUACGGGAGGCAGCAGUGGGGAAUUUUCCGCAAUGGGCGAAAGCCUGACGGAGCAACGCCGCGUGAGGGAUGAAGGCCUCUGGGCUGUAAACCUCUUUUCUCAAGGAAGAAGAUCUGACGGUACUUGAGGAAUAAGCCACGGCUAAUUCCGUGCCAGCAGCCGCGGUAAUACGGGAGUGGCAAGCGUUAUCCGGAAUUAUUGGGCGUAAAGCGUCCGCAGGUGGCCCUGUAAGUCUGUCGUUAAAGCGUGGAGCUUAACUCCAUUUAAGCGAUGGAAACUACAGGGCUAGAGUGUGGUAGGGGCAGAGGGAAUUCCCGGUGUAGCGGUGAAAUGCGUAGAUAUCGGGAAGAACACCAGUGGCGAAGGCGCUCUGCUGGGCCAUCACUGACACUCAUGGACGAAAGCCAGGGGAGCGAAAGGGAUUAGAUACCCCUGUAGUCCUGGCCGUAAACGAUGAACACUAGGUGUCGGGGGAAUCGACCCCCUCGGUGUCGUAGCCAACGCGUUAAGUGUUCCGCCUGGGGAGUACGCACGCAAGUGUGAAACUCAAAGGAAUUGACGGGGGCCCGCACAAGCGGUGGAGUAUGUGGUUUAAUUCGAUGCAACGCGAAGAACCUUACCAGGGUUUGACAUCCUGCGAAUCCCUUGGAAACGAGGGAGUGCCUUCGGGAGCGCAGAGACAGGUGGUGCAUGGCUGUCGUCAGCUCGUGUCGUGAGAUGUUGGGUUAAGUCCCGCAACGAGCGCAACCCACGUCGUUAGUUGCCAGCAUUCAGUUGGGCACUCUAGCGAGACCGCCGGUGAUAAACCGGAGGAAGGUGUGGAUGACGUCAAGUCAUCAUGCCCCUUACAUCCUGGGCUACACACGUACUACAAUGCUACGGACAAAGGGCAGCAAGCUCGCGAGAGUUAGCAAAUCCCAUAAACCGUGGCUCAGUUCAGAUCGUAGGCUGCAACUCGCCUACGUGAAGGAGGAAUCGCUAGUAAUCGCAGGUCAGCAUACUGCGGUGAAUACGUUCCCGGGCCUUGUACACACCGCCCGUCACACCAUGGAAGUUGGCCACGCCCGAAGUCGUUACUCCAACCCUUGUGGAGGAGGA